GCCCUGUGAGACUAUCGAGUCCCAGCUGUGCCCUGUCACCACCUUGUCCCCAGCCCUGAGCCCUCAGUGCCACCUCCAGCCCUUCCCGGGCCACCUCAGGGACGGGCGCUCCAAACCUCCCUGGGGAUUUUCACCAACCCCAAAACUUCCUGUGGCAGUAAGACAGGACACGGGAAGGGAUAUUUGGAGACCCAGAGGCAUUCAGGGCGUCCUGCCCCCUGUCCCUGGAGGAUUUGGGGCUGUGAAACCGUCCUGGUGUGAGCUGGGCUGGGCCUGGAGGGGCUGAGCCAGGACGGAGCUGCUGUGGCAGCCUGGGUGGCUCUGGUGGAGCAGGAGCUGGAGAAUGCAGCCUUUGAAGCCUCCUCAGAAGUGUGUGGAUUCCCCAGGGAUGGGCUCCUGCAGGCGCUCCCUUCGUCCCAUCCGCUGCCACGCCUUGGAACCAAACCCAAGUUUUUACAGAGCUCACUUUUGUACCCUCUCCCUGCCUGAUCCCAAUGGGGAAUUCAGGCCAGAAUUGCCUUUCAACAGCAGGAGAGCUCCACGUUUCCCCGAGAAAACCUCCAAUCCUGGUGCUAUCAAACCCGGUAAAUUGGAUUUGUCUCCUGGAUGCUAAUGCCAGCAACCCGUGGCAGUUAAUUGCAAGUUUUCCUUGCAGGCUGUAAGUGAUGGAAUCUCGCUACAAAAGCCAUUUCUGAUGGAGGGUGCUCUGUAAAUAUUUAUGUUCUUUCAGUGGAGGAAUGCCUCGCAAUCAGACAAACCACACAAAGGCAAAUGAACUCAUCAAAAGAAACCACAACUGAAAUGCAAACAUUAUAAAAAAAGGGGGGGAAGCCUCUCUUCUGAGAGAGUUCCAAGCCCAGGUGGUGCUGUGGGUUUUCCUCAAGUGAGGAUCUUUUUUUUCUAAUCUGCAGGUGCUUCCAGAUGAUGAGCAGGAUGGGAAAUCUGGCCCAGUCCACCUUAAAUCUCAGGAUUUAAUGGAAUUUCAGCGUUUUGUCAGGCUCAAAGGCUGUAAUUAGUGACCAGGACAUAAUCACCACUCACACUCAAACACUCCAACUUUCACCGGUGCCUUUGGUAAAUUCCAGACCUGCUCUGAGCCAAAUAUUUUGCCUCCUAAUCACAGUUUACACCCUUUAUUCCUAAACAUUUGGUAGCAGCAGGAAAGGAAAGUCUGUGUAUUGUCAGUUAAAGGUUUCUUUAUUUCAGCCUUGUUUUUUUUACACUAUCAGCUAAUCCCCAGCACCAAAACAACGCUGGAACUUUGUCAGGAGUUUGCUGCUGAUAUCCAGAAAUAUAAUUGCAUUUAUUUAUCUCCCACCUCCAAAUUUUAAUGGAUUUAUUUUUCCCCUCACAGAUAACAACAAGGACACAAUGGGCCAUAGACAGGCUGUAAAUGUAAAAUCUCACUUUUCUUCUUUCUUUUGAGCUCCUCUUGGGACAAAUGCAAGCAGCGGGUAGGAGCAGGACUGCAGGAGUGUCACGGGAAGGCUGAUGGGCUGGGGCACUGUGAAGAACUGCAGAAGGUCACAGCAGAAGGCAGCAGGCGAUGGAUUAGUGAGCACCAGGACUCAGCAGGUCUGUUCAGCCUCUGAAAUCCGACUGCCUGAGCUCCCCAGCCCCGGUUUUUCCACCUGUAACCACAUGAAAUAAAAGUGAAUAAUGAUUAUUAUGGCUAGGA
This is a long non-coding RNA of Passer domesticus (house sparrow), 1678 nucleotides long. RefSeq lists it as uncharacterized. The record is from RefSeq and is a predicted model, not a curated record. The transcript has 2 exons. Lineage: Eukaryota; Metazoa; Chordata; Aves; Passeriformes; Passeridae.